RNAcentral lists this ribosomal RNA (505 nucleotides) under uncultured bacterium. RNAcentral's name for it is "partial 16S ribosomal RNA". It matches the Rfam family "Bacterial small subunit ribosomal RNA", at positions 28 to 507 of the family's 1533-position model. The record is from RNAcentral.
GACGAACGCUGGCGGCGUGCCUAAUACAUGCAAGUAGAACGCACAGUUUAUACCGUAGCUUGCUACACCAUAGACUGUGAGUUGCGAACGGGUGAGUAACGCGUAGGUAACCUGCCUGGUAGCGGGGGAUAACUAUUGGAAACGAUAGCUAAUACCGCAUAAUAUUAAUUAUUGCAUGAUAAUUAAUUGAAAGGUGCAAUUGCACCACUACCAGAUGGACCUGCGUUGUAUUAGCUAGUAGGUGAGGUAACGGCUCACCUAGGCGACGAUACAUAGCCGACCUGAGAGGGUGAUCGGCCACACUGGGACUGAGACACGGCCCAGACUCCUACGGGAGGCAGCAGUAGGGAAUCUUCGGCAAUGGACGAAAGUCUGACCGAGCAACGCCGCGUGAGUGAAGAAGGUUGUCGGAUCGUAAAGCUCUGUUGUAAGAGAAGAACGGGUGUGAGAGUGGAAAGUUCACACUGUGACGGUAUCUGACCAGAAAGGGACGGCUAACUACGUG